UGUGUUCCUUAUCUGUGUCUAAUACGUUGAAUUAUCAGGAGCCUGUCUGCUUGUGCUUUGCUUCUGGUUCACAGCACAAGUAAGACAGGCCCGUCGUUUAUGUCCGCACGUUCGUUGCCG
Molecule: small RNA, 120 nt
Filed under: Pantoea sp. GL120224-02
Lineage: Bacteria; Pseudomonadati; Pseudomonadota; Gammaproteobacteria; Enterobacterales; Erwiniaceae
Also listed under: 1 other name
Description: tp2
Rfam family: tp2
Source: RNAcentral